UACGGAGGGGGCUAGCGUUGUUCGGAAUUACUGGGCGUAAAGCGCCCGUAGGCGGCUUUGUCAGUUAGAGGUGAAAGCCCGGGGCUCAACCCCGGAAUUGCCUUUAAGACUGCAUCGCUAGAAUUGUGGAGAGGUAAGUGGAAUUCCGAGUGUAGAGGUGAAAUUCGUAGAUAUUCGGAAGAACACCAGUGGCGAAGGCGACUUACUGGACACAUAUUGACGCUGAGGUGCGAAAGCGUGGGGAGCAAACAGG
Molecule: ribosomal RNA, 253 nt
Filed under: uncultured bacterium
Lineage: Bacteria
Description: partial 16S ribosomal RNA
Rfam family: Bacterial small subunit ribosomal RNA
Source: RNAcentral